RNAcentral lists this ribosomal RNA (772 nucleotides) under uncultured bacterium. RNAcentral's name for it is "bacterial SSU rRNA". It matches the Rfam family "Bacterial small subunit ribosomal RNA", at positions 1 to 773 of the family's 1533-position model. The record is from RNAcentral.
UUAGAGUUUGAUCCUGGCUCAGAUUGAACGCUGGCGGCAGGCCUAACACAUGCAAGUCGAGCGGAUGAGUGGAGCUUGCUCCAUGAUUCAGCGGCGGACGGGUGAGUAAUGCCUAGGAAUCUGCCUGGUAGUGGGGGACAACGUUUCGAAAGGAACGCUAAUACCGCAUACGUCCUACGGGAGAAAGCAGGGGACCUUCGGGCCUUGCGCUAUCAGAUGAGCCUAGGUCGGAUUAGCUAGUAGGUGAGGUAAAGGCUCACCUAGGCGACGAUCCGUAACUGGUCUGAGAGGAUGAUCAGUCACACUGGAACUGAGACACGGUCCAGACUCCUACGGGAGGCAGCAGUGGGGAAUAUUGGACAAUGGGCGAAAGCCUGAUCCAGCCAUGCCGCGUGUGUGAAGAAGGUCUUCGGAUUGUAAAGCACUUUUAGUUGGGAGGAAGGGCAGUAAGUUAAUACCUUGCUGUUUUGACGUUCCCAACAGAUUAAGCUCCGGUUAAUUUGGUGCCAGCAGCCGCGUUAUUAGGAAGGGUGCAAGCGUUUAUCGGAAUUUUUGGGGGUAAAGCUCGCGUAGGUGGUUCAUCAAUUUGGAGUUGAAAUCCCCGGGUUCAACUUGGGAAGUCCCUCCAAAAUUCCUGAGUUGGAGUACGUUAGAGGGUAGUGGAAUUUCGUGUGUAGCGGUGAAAUGCGUGGAUAUAGGAAGGACCACCAGUGGGGAAGGCGUCUACUUGGACUGAUAUUGCCAUUGAGGUGGGAAAGUGUGGGGAGCAAAC